UACGUAGGGUGCGAGCGUUAAUCGGAAUUACUGGGCGUAAAGGGCGCGUAGGCGGUUCGAUAAGUCCCGUGUGAAAUCCCUCGGCUCAACUGAGGAAUGGCACGGGAAACUGACGGGCUUGAGUUCGGGAGAGGGAGGCGGAAUUCCGGGUGUAGCGGUGAAAUGCGUAGAUAUCCGGAGGAACACCGGUGGCGAAGGCGGCUUCCUGGACCGACACUGACGCUGAGGCGCGAAAGCUAGGGGAGCAAACGGG
RNAcentral lists this ribosomal RNA (253 nucleotides) under uncultured bacterium. Its description in RNAcentral is "partial 16S ribosomal RNA". It matches the Rfam family "Bacterial small subunit ribosomal RNA", at positions 524 to 776 of the family's 1533-position model. The record is from RNAcentral.